Rhincodon typus (whale shark) is the source of this 82-nucleotide non-coding RNA. The record is from the annotation of a RefSeq genome assembly. Lineage: Eukaryota; Metazoa; Chordata; Chondrichthyes; Orectolobiformes; Rhincodontidae.
GUAGUUAUGGCCAAGUGGUUAAGGCGAUGGAUUAGAAAUCCAUCGGGGUGUCCCCGCGCAGUUUCGAAUCCUGCCGACUAUG